AACCGGAGCGGGAAACCGCACCGGGGUUGAGGACUACCAACAAGUACCCGGAUGAAGUCGAAUCAGGUGGGAACCUGAGCCAGAGACGGUGAGAGCCCGGUAGACGUAAAGAAGGGUAUGGGGUAGUAUCCGGAGUACCACGGGGCACGAGGAACCUUGUGGGAAGCAGGGGGGACCACCCUCCAAGGCGAAAUACUGAUAUGGACCGAUAGCGCAUAGUACCGUGAGGGAAAGGUGAAAAGAACCCCGGGAGGGGAAUGAAAGAGAACCUGAAACCGUAUGUCUACAAGCAGUCGAAGCACCGUAUGCGUGCGACGGCGUGCCUAUUGAAGAAUGAACCGGCGAGUUAUUUCAUCCGGCGAGGUUAAGCGGAAAACGCGGAGCCGAAGCGAAAGCGAGUCUGAACAGGGCGAUAAGUCGGAUGGAAUAGACCCGAAACCACAGUGAUCUAUCCAUGCCCAGGUUGAAGCACAGGUAAAAAUGUGUGGAGGACCGAACCAGUGAGCGUUGAAAAGCUUUUGGAUGAGGUGUGGAUAGGGGUGAAAUGCCAAUCGAACGUGGAGAUAGCUGGUUCUCCCCGAAAUAGCUUUAGGGCUAGCCUCAUGGCAAGAGUGCAGGCGGUAGAGCACUGAACAGGGUAGGGGCCUAUCCGGCUACCGAACCUAAUCAAACUACGAAUGGCUGUACUUAUCCAUGGGAGUCAGACUGCGAGUGAUAAGACCCGUAGUCAAGAGGGAAACAGCCCAGACCAACAGCUAAGGUCCCCAAUGCCGUACUAAGUGGUAAAGGAUGUGGAGUUUCGAAAACAACCAGGAUGUUGGCUUAGAAGCAGCCACCAUUAAAAGAGUGCGUAAUAGCUCACUGGUCGAGAGACUCUGCGCCGAAGAUGACCGGGGCUAAAGUACGGAACCGAAGCUUUGGCAUGUAUGAAAAUACAUGGGUAGGGGAGCGUUCCUGCAUGGGCGAAGCCUGACCGGAAGGACAGGUGGACAGGCAGGAAGUGAGAAUGCCGGUAUGAGUAGCGAAAAGAAAGGUGAGAAUCCUUUCCACCGAAAGCCUAAGGGUUCCUGGGCAACGAUCGUCGACCCAGGGUAAGUCGGGACCUAAUCCGAGGCGAAGACGCAUAGGAGAUGGACAACAGGUUGAAAUUCCUGUACCGACGUCGUCUGUUUGAGCGAUGGAGUGACACAAGAAGGAAAGUUCGCAUGCGAUUGGAAGAGCAUGUCUAAGCAGGUAGGUUGAAUACCAGGCAAAUCCGGUAUUCUAAAAGCCGAGAAGUGAUAGGGAGCCUGUAGAGAUACAGGUGAAGGAACCGGGACUCGAUUGUCAAGAAAAGCUUCUAGUGAGGACGACGCCGCCCGUACCAAAACCGACACAGGUAGGCAAGAAGAGAAUUCUAAGGUGCGCGGGAAAACCCUCGUUAAGGAACUCGGCAAAAUGUAUCCGUAACUUCGGGAAAAGGAUAACCCAGAGUACGUGAAGGAAAGAAACAUCCGGAGCGGGAAUGGGUGGCACAAGAGAGGCCCAAGCGACUGUUUACCACAAACACAGGCGUCUGCUAAAGAGAAAUCUGAUGUAUAGAUGCUGACACCUGCCCGGUGCUGGAAGGUUAAGAGGACGUGUUAGCCGCAAGGCGAAGCAGAGAAUUGAAGCCCCAGUAAACGGCGGCCGUAACUAUAACGGUCCUAAGGUAGCGAAAUUCCUUGUCGGGUAAGUUCCGACCCGCACGAAAGGUGUAACGACUUGCGCACUGUCUCAACGAGGGACCCGGUGAAAUUGAAGUACCUGUGAAGAUGCAGGUUACCCGCGACUGGACAGAAAGACCCCAUGGAGCUUUACUGUAACCUGAGAUUGAAUUUUGGUAGAAGAUGUACAGGAUAGUUGGGAGACGUAGAAGCGCGCACGCCAGUGUACGCAGAGUCGAUGGUGGGAUACCAACCUUGUUUUAUUGAAAUUCUAACGAGAGCCGUAACGAGGCUGCGGACAGUCUCAGGCGGGCAGUUUGACUGGGGCGGUCGCCUCCGAAAGAGCAACGGAGGCGCCCAAAGGUUCCCUCAGCGCGGACGGAAACCGCGCGAAGAGUGUAAAGGCAGAAGGGAGCUUGACUGCGAGACGGACAGGUCGAGCAGGGACGAAAGUCGGGCUUAGUGAUCCGGUGGUAGAGAGUGGAAUUGCCAUCGCUCAACGGAUAAAAGCUACCCUGGGGAUAACAGGCUAAUCUCUCCCAA
RNAcentral lists this ribosomal RNA (2228 nucleotides) under human oral metagenome. RNAcentral's name for it is "bacterial LSU rRNA". It matches the Rfam family "Bacterial large subunit ribosomal RNA", at positions 272 to 2495 of the family's 2925-position model. The record is from RNAcentral.